This 294-nucleotide ribosomal RNA is filed under the name uncultured bacterium. RNAcentral's name for it is "partial 16S ribosomal RNA". It matches the Rfam family "Bacterial small subunit ribosomal RNA", at positions 27 to 317 of the family's 1533-position model. The record is from RNAcentral.
GGAUAAACGCUGGCGGCGUGCAUUAGACAUGCAAGUCGAACGGACUUCUCGGGGGCUUGCUCUGAGAAGUUAGUGGCGGACGGCUGAGUAACGCGUAGGUGACCUACCCCGAAGUGGGGAAUAACUGCCCGAAAGGGUGGCUAAUACCGCAUGGUGAUCGUAUGUUACAUUCGUACGAUCAAAGCCGUAAGGCGCUUCGGGAGGGGCCUGCGUCCGAUUAGCUCGUUGGUGGGGUAAUGGCNCACCAAGGCGACGAUCGGUAGGUGGUCUGAGAGGACGAUCACCCAGACUGGG